AGGGAAACCGAGUCUUAACUGGGCGUUAAGUUGCAGGGUAUAGACCCGAAACCCGGUGAUCUAGCCAUGGGCAGGUUGAAGGUUGGGUAACACUAACUGGAGGACCGAACCGACUAAUGUUGAAAAAUUAGCGGAUGACUUGUGGCUGGGGGUGAAAGGCCAAUCAAACCGGGAGAUAGCUGGUUCUCCCCGAAAGCUAUUUAGGUAGCGCCUCGUGAACUCAUCUUCGGGGGUAGAGCACUGUUUCGGCUAGGGGGUCAUCCCGACUUACCAACCCGAUGCAAACUGCGAAUACCGAAGAAUGUUAUCACGGGAGACACACGGCGGGUGCUAACGUCCGUCGUGAAGAGGGAAACAACCCAGACCGCCAGCUAAGGUCCCAAAGUCACAGUUAAGUGGGAAACGAUGUGGGAAGGCUCAGACAGCCAGGAUGUUGGCUUAGAAGCAGCCAUCAUUUAAAGAAAGCGUAAUAGCUCACUGGUCGAGUCGGCCUGCGCGGAAGAUGUAACGGGGCUAAACUGUGCACCGAAGCUGCGGCAGCGACGCUUAUGCGUUGUUGGGUAGGGGAGCGUUCUGUAAGCCUGCGAAGGUGUCCUGUGAGGGAUGCUGGAGGUAUCAGAAGUGCGAAUGCUGACAUAAGUAACGAUAAUGCGGGUGAAAAGCCCGCUCGCCGGAAGACCAAGGGUUCCUGUCCAACGUUAAUCGGGGCAGGGUGAGUCGACCCCUAAGGCGAGGCCGAAAGGCGUAGUCGAUGGGAAACGGGUUAAUAUUCCCGUACUUGGUGUUACUGCGAAGGGGGGACGGAGAAGGCUAUGUUGGCCGGGCGACGGUUGUCCCGGUUUAAGCGUGUAGGCUGGUUUUCCAGGCAAAUCCGGAAAAUCAAGGCUGAGGCGUGA
RNAcentral lists this ribosomal RNA (896 nucleotides) under Salmonella enterica subsp. enterica serovar Kentucky. RNAcentral's name for it is "partial 23S ribosomal RNA". It matches the Rfam family "Bacterial large subunit ribosomal RNA", at positions 670 to 1566 of the family's 2925-position model. Lineage: Bacteria; Pseudomonadati; Pseudomonadota; Gammaproteobacteria; Enterobacterales; Enterobacteriaceae. The record is from RNAcentral.